GAUGAAUGUCGGAGUUCCCAGUGUGACCAGCAGUGUAUCAACACUGAGGGCGGUAUGCGAUGCGAAUGUGGACCAGGCUUUACACUGUCACCAGAUGGCCAAGGAUGUAAAGAUAUUGAUGAGUGCGCCCGCAGGGACUGGAAGCCUUGCCACCACACCUGCGUCAACUCCAGAGGGAGCUUCAGAUGCUCCUGCCAGCCGGGCUACUACCUGCACCAAAAUGGAAGAUCCUGCCUAGAUGUGAAUGAGUGCAACCAGGGUGGGGGCCAGGUGUGUCACCAUAUCUGUCAAAACACCCAGGGGAGUUACCGCUGCUCCUGCCGUCCCGGGUUCGAACUCCAACCGGAUGGAACAACCUGCAGAGAUAUUGAUGAGUGCACUCAGGAAUCCAACGGUUGCUCAGGUAGCUGUAUCAACACCAUUGGAUCAUACCAGUGUAGCUGCACACAGGGUUAUACCAGCAGAGGAGGCAGAUGUGUGGAUGUGGAUGAGUGUCAAAUGAGCAACGGUAGAUGCGAACAGCUCUGCGUCAACACUCAAGGCAGUUUCCUGUGCUCCUGUCGUCAGGGUUACACGCUCAACAGCGAUGCACGGACGUGCACAGAUGUGGAUGAGUGUGAGCAGUACGCCGGCCGGGUCUGUGAGCACGGCUGUGAGAACGUGGACGGCACGUACCAGUGUAGAUGCCCACCAGGAUUCAGGCUGCAUGCCAACAGGCAGAACUGCGUGGAUAUCAAUGAGUGUAUGGAGCAGCAUGGGCUGUGCCACUACCGCUGCGUUAACACCAGAGGUUCCUACAACUGCAUCUGUCCUCCAGCCUUCCAGCUGGCUGCCGAUGGAAGAAUGUGUGACGACAUGGAUGAGUGUGCAGUCAGUAAUCACGGUUGCCAGGGUGGAUGCGCAAACACCAUGGGCAGCUAUCACUGCACAUGUGCAGAAGGCCAGCUGGGAUCAGGCGAUCUGUACUGCGGCAAACAGCCUAGCGGAUGCAACAGUGAUACGUGUUCCCACAAAUGUGUCGACACAGGAACCGGCCACAACUGUAUGUGCUCCAGAGGAUACCAGUUACACAGUGGUGGUCGCCAUUGUGAAGAUAAAAACGAGUGUAUGGAGGUUGGCCGUGGUGGCUGCCAGCAUCAAUGUGUUAAUUCCAUGGGCAGCUACUACUGCUCCUGCUACGCAGGCUACCGACUCCACUAUGACCGCAAACGCUGUGUGGCCAACACAGGCUGCAAUACAUGCAUGACUUGCCCUGCUGGAUUCCACAUGAAUACACAGACAGGACGGUGUGAAGAUAUUGACGAGUGUUCAUCACCCGCCAACAACUGUGGAGCUACACGCUGUGCAUCAAAUAGAGCAGUGUGCUCGCACAACUGCAUCAAUACGGUAGGCAGCUACUCAUGCACAUGCAAUCCUGGAUAUCUCAUACAGCCCGACGGAUACACGUGCACAAAAGAUGGACCUGUGUGUUCCCCACCAUGUAACAAUGGCGGUACCUGUCAGUAUUCCAGACAGUGCAGCGGCAACACGUACAACUGCCGCUUCAGUGAGUGUGCCUGCCGAGCAGGAUUCACGGGACCACGCUGCGAAAACGUUUUACCCAGUUCCUGUCAGCCUGCAUGUCUCAACGGUGGCCAGUGCGUGGAUGGACAAUGUCAGUGCACUGCAGGAUUCACUGGGACAUCCUGUUCAUCAGAUAAGAAUGAAUGUUUGAACCACGAGUGCGAGCACCAUUGCCAAAACACAUUCGGUAGUUUCCAGUGUCUAUGCAGAGGUGGCUACACAAUCAACGCAGAUGGGGAAACAUGCAGUGAGAUUGGCUGUUUCCCGCCAUGUAUGAACGGAGCCUCCUGUGCCAACAAAGUCUGCGUCUGCCCUGACGGCUUCAGUGGACCAAACUGCCAGACAGACAUCAAUGAAUGCGCAGUCAGCAAUGGCGGCUGUGAGUACAUAUGCAGGAACACCUAUGGCAGCUAUGUGUGUUUCUGCCCCCGGGGUGCAACACUGAGUCCUGACAUUCACUCUUGUUCAGGAGUGACCUGUAACCCACCCUGUAAUAACAACGGCACCUGUGUCAACAGAAUGUGCCGGUGCCCAUCUGGUUUCACUGGUCCCACCUGUCUGCAAGAUAUCAAUGAGUGUGUUUCCAACAACCCCUGUGCCUACCAAUGCCUGAACACAUACGGCGGGUACGAGUGCGUUUGCCCUGAUGGAACACGCCUGGGUGUUGAUAAAAGAUCAUGUGAAGGUGUGUUUGAGUGUAGUCCAGUAUGUCAGAAUGGAGGCACGUGUCGCGCAGGCUCAUGCAUCUGUCCGGAGGGCUUCACCGGAGAAACAUGUGUCAUUGAUAUUGACGAAUGUGAGGAUGCGGCCCGCUGCGGAUUCCAGUGCAACAAUUACUAUGGCGGUUACGAAUGUCUGUGCCCGCCGGGAUUCAUGCUAGCAGAAGAUGGUAGAAAGUGUGUGGAUGAGAAUGAGUGUCCCAAAGUCUUCUGUGAGUAUCAGUGCGAGAACACACCAGGCAGCUACCGAUGCGUCUGCCCUGAGGGACAACGCCUUGCUCCUAACGGCAGAACAUGUCUGGACCUUCCCUGCAUUCCUGCCUGUCGUUUUGGCGUCUGCGAGGCCGGUGUGUGCCAGUGCUCCAUCGGUUACACCGGUGCUGACUGUAGUAUCCCAACGCGAUGCGAGCAACCCUGCGCCAAUGGUGGAACGUGCAGUCGCGGGGUGUGCCAGUGCGCGGAUGGGUUCAGCGGCGAGUUCUGCCAAACCAAAGUGUGUCGCCCAGCCUGCUUGAAUCUGGGCAUGUGUGUGGAGGGAAUCUGCGUCUGUCCUGAUACCCACACUGGAGACUUCUGCCAAUUCAAAGCCUGUAAGCGGGAAUGUCUUAAUGGCGGCAUAUGCAACUUUGACGGUAUUUGCAACUGUGAGGAGGGUUUUGUUGGAGAAUUCUGUGGAAUUAAAGUGUGUCAGCCAGCGUGUGUCCAUGGUGUAUGCAUCAAUGGCGUCUGUCAGUGCAAUGGCGGAUACACGGGAGAUGAUUGCAACGUGAAAGAGUGCCCCGUUGCCUGUCAGAAUGGAGGAACCUGCUGGAACGGAACCUGUGUGUGUCCGUCUGGAUUCACUGGGCUCUUCUGCGAAAGACUAGAUUGUGAACAGCCUUGUUUGAAUGGUGGUGUCUGCAACUUUGGAAGAUGCAACUGCCCGCCACAGUUCCAAGGAGCGUACUGUCAAAACGAAGUUUGCCGGCCACCCUGCCGAAACGGAGGUGUGUGUGACAAUGGUGUCUGUGUCUGCCCAGCAGGCUUCGAAGGAGUCCAGUGUCAGACCAGAGUGUGCAUUCAACCAUGUCAGAAUGGCGGAGUAUGUGUGAAUGGUAUAUGCCAAUGCUUGUAUGGAUUCAUCGGUCCCUACUGUGAAAUCAGCUUUGGCAGUUGUGAUGACCUUCAGUGUCAGAACGGUGGUCAUUGCCUUGGGGGUCGAUGUGAGUGCGCACCGGGCUUCAAUGGACCGACUUGCACUGUUAAGAUACCAACAAAUGGAUGCCUACCACAGUGCCUCUAUGGAGGGCUAUGCAUAGAUUCUGUCUGUAACUGCACUGCAGGAUACUAUGGAGAUUUCUGCCAAUACAACUAUGCCUCCCCGCUUAUCCGGCCGAUCCGCAUCUACCAAACUGGUGGCAACAACGUGGAGGGCACCACUGUGUACUAUGUCUGCGAGACCAACUCAACCCUUGUGGAGGGAACCCCGCUGUGGUACUACUCACGGAGGAUAGGCGGCCAGGUGGAAUUUGUGGAAAAUGCACAAGGCCGGUUUUCUCAGCAGGUUAUCAGCCCCAACACCACACUAUUCAUCGGCCGUGAUCUCCGAGUUUUUGACACCGACCAAUUCCGCUGUUCCGUCACCGGUGGGCCAACCAUCACACUAUCGCUCUUGGUUUACGCCUCUGAAUGUGCACCAGGUUGCAUCAACGGUGGGGUCUGUCAUGGCAACAUGUGCAUGUGCCCUGUUGGGUAUACGGGAGACUACUGUGAGACCAAACUAAGCUAUUGCCCAGUCAGGUGUCUGAACGGCGGUUACUGUGACAACGGCAACUGUGUGUGUCAGGACGGAUUCCAAGGAAGCUUCUGUCAGAUAGCAGUUGGUGAUGAGUUUGUCAUACGUCUCAGCAUCCCCUCCACCCAGCGUCCCACACUAGGCACCACCAUCUCAAUCAUCUGCGAGGUCUUUGAGUCACCCACUGCUGCCGAGGCCAUUAGGGGAACACCCCUGCUUGCACAAUGGGAGGUUCCGGAGCCAGUCAGCCCGCGGCUCUUGCCUGGUGUCCCAGUGGAUGGCAUCUUCAGUCCAGCUGUUGGCGAUGAUGUCCGGGUGAGACAGCUCUCGCCGUCAGCUUCCCUGCUCACCAUUACAAACUUCCAACCGGCUUAUUCCGGCACCUACAACUGCUCAACUGGCACACGCACCGUCACCUACUAUCUCAGUGUUGAGUGUCUACCACCUUGCAUGAACGGAGGCGCGUGUGUGAACGGCCAGUGUCAAUGUUACCCAGGUUUCACCGGUGAUCGCUGCGAAAUGUCACCCCCAGAAAUGAACAAUAAGGACUGUCGCUAUGCCUGUGCCAACAACGGCACCUGUGCUGAUGGGAUCUGCCUGUGUCUGAACGGCUUCAAAGGCGACAGGUGUGAAAUCGACUUCCGAGCGUUAACCAACGACCCCUGUGGCUGUUUGAAUGGAGGAACCUGUGAGCAAGGGGAAUGCCGCUGUCCGAUUGGCUUUUCAGGAGCUCAGUGCCAAACUGAAGAUGGAAUCUGCGAUCCGCCUUGCCAGAAUGGUGGAAGCUGCCUAGAUGGAAUCUGUCACUGUGACCUGGGAUAUGUUGGCUUCUACUGUGACAUUAGAGCUUGUUUCCCAUCCUGUGUUCACGGUGACUGUAGUGAGGGAGUGUGUCUGUGCGACACUGGCUACACUGGAGAACAGUGCAAUUUACUUGAAUGUACCGUGGAAUGCCUGAAUGGCGGUGUGUGCUACAAUGGAACCUGUUCCUGCUUACCAGGCUUCACAGGAGAACAGUGCCAAGACAUAGACUGUUUAUUUCCGUGUUUGAACGGGGCCUGUGUGGAAGGCUUGUGCCAGUGUGAUCUGGGAUUCGCCGGUGAUCAGUGCGAUGAACUGGCUUGCAUUCUGCCUUGCAUCAGUGGAGUAUGCAUAGAAGGGGAGUGCAUAUGCACACCAGGCUACGGGGGUGAACAGUGUGACAUACGCAGUUGCCAACCUGAAUGUGUGAAUGGUGGACAGUGCAAAGAGGGAGUUUGCGUUUGCCCGCAAGGCUAUGAUGGGCCAAGCUGUGAGACUCAAGUGCCUUACAUUGAGAUCAUUCCCGAGCAGUCCUUCGUGCGCUACGGCAUGCAGUUGUCAUGGCGUUGCAUCUACCAUCUGGGUUCGCUGUCUCCGUUCUGGAGGGAUCCUGGCCAGCGGUUUGUUCAACUUUCCCAAAAUGCAAAUCGCGGGGAUCUUGGCCAGAGUAACGUCUUUGCUGAGCGCAUCUCCCGCCUGGAGACCAGAAUGGUCAUCAUUGACUUCCAAGCUAAUGAUGCAGGCACCUACUCCUGUGGGACAUACGAUGAGCAGGAGACAAUACUGAUUGUGGUGACCAGCACAACACCAGCUACCCCUACCACUCCCAGUGUCACCAUCACCAUCCCACCCACCCAGCCCAGUAACUGUGUCCCCUUCAACAGUUCCUUCUGUCAAGGCCUGCCCUACCAGCAAGCGAUCUUCCCUACGGCCUUCGCCCAGAACUCGGAAGCAGCCGACCUGUUGGCGUCGGCCAUGUUCUCACGCCUCACCGACUGUGGGGAUUCGCCAAAGGUGGUACUGUGCUACCUCUUCUUCCAACCCUGCGACAGCGGCACAGACCCCCUAGACAGACUCUGCCAAGAAACCUGCCUCGAUGUCCAACACAACUGCCUGGCCUACAUGCAGGAGGUUCUGCGGUUCUUCCAGGCUGGGCUGGCGCAGCAGUUCCUCGGAGUCUGCGGGACGCUGCCGUCUGAAGAGACUCACCCUAGCUGCAUCAAGAACUUGAAGAAACAGCCACCAACAAUAUCAAAAUGCGAAGGCAUGUGUGAGAAUGGAGGAACCUGCAUCAAUGAUAAGUGCAUCUGCAAGCCGGACUUCACUGGAGACAUGUGUGAAUACCCAGUUGACACCUUGUUCGAGUACGAUGUGGUCAUCACGCCCAUUCCCCCUGGCUACCCAGAAGUUGACACCAACUUGACCGUCGUCUGUGAGAUCAUCAAUAAUAACGUCUUGGUCUUCCCGGUAUGGUUCGGUCCCGACAACCAAAACAUCCCAUCUAAACAACCAGGUGACAACCAGCGUGUAUACAUGGACCUGCAUUCCCCGACAGCCUCCAAACUCAUCAUAGUGGGUGUCCAGCCUUCGGACCAGGGCACGUAUCGGUGCAUUGUGGGCCAGCAAUCUGUACCACACACUGUGAUUCUGAAAUUUCCAGACUGCUACAGCCUGCCUUGCUUGAAUGGUGGGGUCUGUGUGCAAGGAAAAUGCCAGUGCCCUGCAGGCUUCACUGGACUCAACUGCGAAAAUAGUGACGUGAGGUACAUCAUCAGCAUCACCCCACAGACCAUCGACUUCCCCGUGACCGGCUCCAACUUGACCUUCCUGUGUGAGGUCAGCGGUCUGUAUCCUAGCAAGCCAGUCUGGUUGAGUCCAUACGCUAGAAACAUUGGCGCUUCUACUGAAGGUGGUAAUAACCGUGUCUUUGUUGAGGAGAUGUCACCCACGGAAACUGCGCUAAAUAUCAUCAACAUCCAACCUCAGGACUCGGGAGUGUAUGUCUGCGUAGUGGAGAAGCAGUACAGCUACAUCAACAUCACUGUACGAUUUCCUGAACUUGAGUGUCGGCUUCCAUGUCUCAAUGGUGGAUACUGUGUCUUUGGGGAGUGCCAGUGCCCACCAGACUAUGAAGGCCCCCGCUGCCAAUCACUUGUGCCACCAUCAUUCAGUCUGAUCAUCACGCCAGCCCCGAACCAGACUCCAGUCUUGGGAGGCAUGCUGGCCUUCCUAUGUGAGAUGACACGAGCCAGUAACACCAGCUUCCCCUUCUGGAUCACGCCGGACGGACAGAUUGUUUCUUCAGAAAACGCAGAGAAUGCAGAUGGGGUGCACGUUGUGUUUCUCGGAACAACAGCCAUCCGGUUGGUCAUCAACAAUCUGAAGGAGCGCGACGAAGGAAUCUACACAUGCAUAGCUGGACCUGUCGAGGCUCACAUCAACAUCACUGUGUUUGAGCCACAGUGUGAGCGACCUUGUUUGUUUGGCAGUGCUUGUGUCAAUGGCACCUGUCUCUGCCCGUAUGGAUUGGAGGGAGAAUACUGCCAGAUCCAAGUGCCAGGGACAGAGUGCAACCUACCCUGUGCCAACAACGGCCUCUGUGUCAACAACCAAUGCUUCUGCCAAGAUGGCUACCUGGGUGAACUCUGCCAGAUAUUUGUCGGGGGCACGUUUAACAUCACUGUGGUGACUAUCGAUGACUUGGUGCCAAUCUCCAAUGGCGAUGUGCAAAUUGUGUGCGCGGUGGAGGGAGAUGGGGUCUUCCCCCCACCGAUGUGGAUCAAUCCAAGGGGCUUCACCAUUGCAUCCAUCGGGGAAGGUGGUUCCCAACACGUCAAUGUAGAGACGCCACUCCCUGGAACAACAUUGCUGAACAUUAAUGACAUCACCACAGAUGAUGAAGGAACAUACACCUGUGUUGUGGGAUCACACAUCAACACAUACAUCUUCAGGAUCACAGUUUCUGAUGAGUGCGAUUUCCCAUGUGCCAAUGGGGGCCAAUGCGUUGAAGGUCUCUGCCUCUGCCCAGUUGGUUACCUGGGCAGAUUCUGUGAGGUCUACAUACCAGAACCAGAGUGCAAUUUGCCUUGCCAAAAUGGAGGCCAGUGUCGCAAUGGAAUAUGUCGGUGUCCUAUCGGCUACACAGAACCUUCCUGCAAUGUGAAAGUUGGUAACGGCUACUUCCUGUACAUUGUCUCCAACCUCCAACGUCCACCACUGACCGGUGAGGAGCUGAGAGUGACCUGUGCAUUCAUCGGUGGCCAGCGGACCUCCCGACCCUGGUGGUCCGGCCCCAGCGACUUCCGCAUCCCAACGAACGAAGGCGGUCUUCAGCGUGUAUUCAUACAGAACUUGAACGCCACCGCAACACAGCUCAUCUUCAAAGGCGUACGGCCUGCGGACUUGGGCACAUACACCUGCAAUGUUGGAGUCGUCACCAACACAUUCACUGUGACAGUCGUCGAGCCCGAGUGCAACCCAGUGUGUCAGAAUGGAGGGGCCUGCAGUCCAGAUGGGUGUCAGUGUACUGAAGACUACACUGGAGUCUUCUGUCAAACACCAGUGUUGUUCAAGUGUAAUGGACCGUGCUUAAACAACGGCGUAUGUGUGACUGGAGUCUGCCUGUGUGUGGACGGUUUCACUGGAGCCAACUGUGAAACACCAAUUGUGGUUGGGUGCGAGCAACCCUGCGCUAACGGCGGCCUGUGCGUGGACACCAAAUGUCUGUGUCAGCCAGGAUUUACUGGAGAAUUCUGCCAAGAAACAGUUCUAGCCUCAGAUUGCAUCCCUGUCUGUGAAAAUGGAGGUAACUGCUCCGAUGGGAUCUGUGUGUGUGCGGACAAGUACACUGGGGAAACCUGCAACACCAGGGUUGAUGAGGAUUUCAUUAUAACAGUCAUCCCGGUCACCCCUAAACCGCCCUCUAUUGGUGACAACAUUCGUGUCAGUUGUGAAUUCAUUGGAGACUCCAACACUCCCCGGCCGUAUUGGACUAAACCAGAUGGACAGCAGAUAGAGUACAUCUUGCCAGAGCUCAUUGGAACUAGACACGUGGGCAGUAUUGCUAACUCAAGCAGCUCCACCAGCCUCUUCAUCAACGACGUCCGUACCACAGACGAAGGCACUUACACAUGCUUUGUGGGACCAUUCACCAACACAUACACCAUCUUGUUUUACGAUUUCAACUGUGACCCACUCUGCCGCAAUGGAGGAUUCUGCACCCUGGGGACGUGCCAGUGCCCAGAAGGAUACAGAGGUGUAGCCUGUGAAAUUCAACUUGAUAGGAACGAGUGCCGUCCACGUUGCGAGAACCAAGGUGUCUGUAGAAACAGGAUUUGUGAGUGUGGACCUCAGUUUGUCGGCCCCUACUGUGAAACGACAGUUGGUAAUGGGUUCUUCAUAACGAUCAACGAGAAGCCCUAUGAGCAGCUGAGGACGGGGCAAGAUGUCACUGUCACCUGUGAGUUUGUAGGAGCAGGUGAAAAUGCCGCUCAACCAGCUUGGAGAGACCCUAACGGAAUACUCAUCAGACCAUCCAGAGCCGCUGUAAGCGACGACCGUUUCCGUACAAGAGAAAUCUCACCGUUAGUCACUGAGCUGACCAUCAGUAAUAUUCAGCCGACUGAUUCGGGCAUUUAUACCUGCCAUGUAGGAUCCAGUAUCAACACUUUGACAAUCGAUAUAGGAGACGGUUGUGCCCAGCCUUGUAUGAACGGAGGAACCUGCAGCGCUGGAGCUUGUAUCUGUCCUGAUGGUUUCAGUGGUGAACGAUGUGAUACACCAGUGGUUGAGUGUGUCAUCCCAUGUGAGAACAGUGGCCAGUGUGUGGAUGGGGUCUGUGUCUGCUCGGAAGGUUACAUUGGGAAUCUGUGUGAAGUAUCAGUUGGAGAUGGAUUCACCAUUCACAUCAUCAAGGAUACCUUGGGACCACACCAGACCGGCCAAGACGUGAGUGUGACUUGUGAAUACACCAGCGAUUCCAACCAGGUGUUUCAGCCGCAGUGGAUUGACCAGAACGGACGCAGUAUCAACCCCAACACACUAGGACGGUUAACGACAGAUAUUGUCUCACCGACGUCCACUCAACUGACCAUAUCCAACAUCCAGCAGAUUGAUUCAGGCAUAUACACAUGCGUCGUCGGAACGCGGGUCAACACCUAUACGCUCACCAUACACGAUGUUGAAGUGCAGUGCCCCUUGGAUUGCUUGAAUGGAGGGGUGUGCGUGCAAGGAACCUGCGAGUGCCUGGAACAGUACGGUGGUGCUUACUGCGAAUUCGAAUUGACACAGUGCGAUUUCCCCUGCGCCAAUGGUGGUGUCUGCAUUGAAGGGGUGUGUUCCUGUGUUGGUGGCUACGAAGGCGAUUUCUGCCAGACAUACGUGAUACCAGAAACCGAUAUCAUCAUCACCAUCACACCACAGAAGGACAUCCUGCCAGCCAUUGGCCACAACUUCUACUUAGUAUGCGAGAUUGCCAACAGCAACGCCUACCCUCAACCAAUCUGGAUCACGCCCACUGGAGAGCGGGUACCCGUUGAAGCGGAAGGAGGACCCUCGCCAUCCCAUCACAUGGCGACUGAGUCCAUCUCUCCUACAGCCACCAAGUUGAUCCUGAAUGGCCUCAUGAGGGAAGACUCAGGCCUUUACACCUGCCUGAUUGGCCCAUACAGGGACUCCAUACCCCUCAUCAUAUACAAGCUUCCCUGUUCGCCAGUUUGCCAAAACGGUGGAACCUGUGACGACGGGGUGUGCCUGUGUCCAACUGGCUUCACUGGCAACCACUGCCAGGACAGAGAGCAGCAACGGCUGACCAUUCGUGUAACGCCCAACAUGCAAGAGCUUCCCAACGUAGGCGACCACUUGCGCGUCACCUGCGAGAUAAUAGGCACGGACCAGUUCGACCCACCACAGUGGCAGACACCGGAUGGCACUGUCAUCCCUGAAUUUGUCAUAGCUUCGGAUCAGCGUGUCGGCGUACAGUACCUGACUCAAACAGCCACCAAUCUAGUCAUCAACAGUAUCCGGUCCACAGACACCGGCCUGUACACCUGCAGCAUCGGGCCUUUACAAGGGUUCUUCAACGUAGGGGUGGAGCAGCCGCCAACCUGCGAGGUGGUCUGCGAGAACAUGGGCCUGUGCUUGGGCCGGGAGUGCGAGUGCCCCCAGGAGUUCGCUGGCCCUCGUUGUGAGAUCAGAAUUGGAGCAGACUACACCAUCACCAUCACUCCACCCAGCAACCCAAUCCUUGUGACUGGCGCCCAUGAAAUCACUUACCUGUGUGAGAUAGAAAGCCUGCGUCGCCUAGCCCGGCCAGAAUGGGCCGCGCCGUCCGGAACACUGAUUGCACCAAUAGAGCAGGUUGGCAGCAUCGGCCGACUUGGGGUUGAGUACAUCGACAGUCGCUCAACUCGCCUCAUCAUCCGAGACCUGAUGCUGGAAGAUAGUGGAAUGUACACCUGCUAUAUCGGGCCUCUCACCAACUCCGUCAUCAUCACUGUCCAAAUGCCCUCCUGCCAGUUACCAUGCCAGAACGGCGGUCAUUGCACUAAUGGUGUGUGCGAGUGUCCGCGAACCUUUACUGGUCCCCAGUGCCUGACACCAGUGGUCACCUGCUUGCAGCCUUGCGUCAAUGACGGAGUCUGCCUGAAUGGGGCCUGCCGGUGUCCCACGGGAUUCCUAGGUUCAAGAUGCGAGACACCAGGUUUCAGCAUGAAGCUCCACCCAGUUGGGGAGGUGAUUCCAGAGAUAGGGCGGACCAUCAGUUUCCUGUGUCAGAUCACGGGUGAGAUACCAGACAUCCGACCAAGAUGGCGUAGAGAGAACACAGAAAUACUGCCUCUGUCAGAAGGUGGUACAGCUCAUGUGUUCACCUCAUAUGUCAGUCCCUCAGCAACCCAACUUACCAUCCAGGGCAUAGAAUCAACAGAUGCGGGCUCCUAUAUCUGCGAUGUUGGCCCGGUCAUCGCUACCUUCAAAAUACAAGUCCAGGAGUUGCCGUGUCGAGAGGAAUGCCAGAAUGGGGGCACGUGCAUCAGUGGCGUGUGCCGGUGUCCAGAGGGCUACUCAGGCACUGCUUGCCAAGUUGAAGGUCCUCAGAACAUAAGGAUUCAGAUCAUUCCCAUCCGUCCCGGAGUACCCAGAAUCGGAGAGGACAUUGCUUUCACUUGUAUCAUCCUCGGCCCAACUCCGUUUUUGAACCCAACUUGGAAGGCUCCAGGAGGACAACCCAUAGCCCGAAGGAAUGCUCUUGGUGUAGAUGGCACAACUGCCCGUUUAUCAGAAGAAGCGUUGACUUCGACUGCCACCACUUUGUUCAUCAACAGCGUGUCUUACGAUGACGCCGGCAUCUACGUGUGCAUGGUGGGGCCGGUCAUGGCAAACUUCUCGCUGGAAAUUAGUGGCCCCGAGUGUCGACCAAGCUGCCAGAAUGGAGGCACCUGCAUGGACGGAAUAUGCGCCUGCUUUCCGGAAUUUACCGGCCACUACUGCCAAACACCAGCUCUGUGUCAAAGGUCAUGUAUGUAUGGAGCCCUGUGCAUUAACGGAGAGUGCAUGUGCCCUCCGGGGUACCAGGGAAAAUUCUGCCAAAUAGCAGUGCCUGAAAAACUGAUGGUCAACAUACGGCAGAUUGGCAACGACCUACCUCGCCCAGGAGGCAACUUGCAGUUUGAGUGCAUCAGCACUGGCAGUAGCAACCCAAGGAAUGCACCCAUUUGGAGGAACCCUGCUGGACAGAGGGUUGACCCACUAGCACAAGGUGGAUCUCAGCAUAUGUUUGUCCGCCAGACAUCACCUUCAACCACUGUUCUUGUCAUCAAUAACGUGGCGGUAACUGAUGCUGGCAAAUACGAGUGUGUAGUGGGCAACGUGGUUGCGUCUCUUGUCAUCCGAAUCAGUGGGCCUGUACCACCUGAUGGUGGUUGCUCCCCCUCCUGUCAGAAUGGAGGAACCUGUUUCGGAGGUCAGUGCCUGUGUCCUGUGGGUUACAUCGGAGCGUACUGCCAUAUAACAGUGCCAACGCCCAGCUUUGACAUCCAGAUCCUCCUAGACCCAGACCAGCCCCAGCAGCUAGUCAUAGGAGAUGACCUCCAGUUGACCUGUCAGAUUCCCGACGAUAGCCCCUACACCAACCCCCAGUGGUACACCCCGGAAAGUGAACGGGUCUUUGCAAUUGGUCAAGGUGGCUCAGACAAGUUGCAUGUUGAUCAACGGACCGUGCACCAGACUAUUCUCACCAUCAUGAACGUCCAGGCUAGUGAUAGCGGCACCUACAUAUGCUCCGUUGGCCCCCACAGGGCAUCAUUCUUUGUCGACAUCAGCACCUUUGAUAUUCGUGUCCAGCCCCCACCGACACAAAACCAACGGAUCGGCCACAACAUCACAUUUGUCUGUGAAGUGUCAGAGAGAGCCGGCUACAGGAACCCAUCGUGGCUUGGCCCCAGCGGCCAACAGAUAUACCCUGAUGGUCAAGGUUUUGCCAGUCGUGUCUAUGUCCGGGAGCUCUCCUAUCUCGCUUCCGAGCUCGUUAUCCAGGACCUGCGUCUCAGCGACGAAGGCAUCUAUACCUGUGCCGUGGGCCCCCUCAGCACCACCCAAGAAGUCUUCAUCGAAGUGGGUUGUAGCCAGCCUUGCUUCAAUGGUGGAAGAUGUGUAAACAGUGCCUGCGAAUGUCCUAAUAGUUAUCAAGGAGCACAGUGUGAAAUACCAAUUGGCUUUGACAUGCGAAUCGUGAUCCCGGAAAACCUUACACCAAUGGUGGGUGAUGAUCUGAGCUUCACUUGUGAGGUGGGGUACCAAAGCCGCUUCCGCAAUCCGCUGUGGACUGGCACUAGAGGCCAGCCAGUCCUUCCUGUUGGACAAGGAGGAACAGAUCAUCUCAGAGUGAUCAUCAUCAAUGAGUAUAGCACCCGACUGGUCAUCUCAGGACUUGGCACCUCAGACUCUGGCACCUAUGUCUGCACAGCUGGACCCCUCUACAGGGACUUAACAAUCCAAAUCCAAGGUCGUCCAUGUGACCCUCCAUGUUCCAACGGUGGCACCUGCCUAGAUGGUGUGUGCCAGUGCCCAGAGAGCUACGUAGGAACUUACUGUGAAACCUUUGUUCCACCAUUCAACAUCCGGAUUCUACCCCUUGAGAACCAAUCACCAGUUAUCGGCGACAACCUUACCAUAGACUGCAUGGUGCAUCCCUUGGGGCUGUACAGAAAUCCAAUAUGGCACGGACCGGACGGCAGACAAAUCAACACAAUGGCACAAGGUGGUACUAUGCGACUGCACACUGAACAGACCAGCCCCUUCAGCACCAGACUAGUGAUAGAAAUGCUGAGUGAAGUAGACAGAGGCAACUACGAAUGCCAAGCUGGGCCCUUCUCUGCCCCAGUGGUGAUUGACAUUCCAGUUCAAGAUUGCAUUCCAUCAUGCAUUAACGGUGGUCAGUGUGUGAACGGCAGGUGCAGCUGCCCCACUGGCUGGACUGGUAGCAGAUGUCAGACACCAGAUGUGACUUUCCCAAUUCGCAUCGUCCCACCGGAUGAGAAACCUCAGAUAGGAGGCGACUUCAGCGUGUUAUGUGAGGUUCCGCGCAGCAGCCAGUACACCAUGCCCAUAUGGCUGGAUGCUAACAGACAGAUGGUACCCAAGGACACGCAAGGUCACCUUUACGCAGUCGCUGAGUCUGAUCACCUGACUAGGCUGUAUUUCAAUGGUGUCCAGCGCUCAGACAGAGGAACUUACACAUGUGUCACUGGUCCCCUGUCUGCGGACUUCACCAUCAGCAUACCAGGUGGCGACGAUGGUUGCACCCCACCCUGCCUUAAUGGUGGAAGUUGCAUAAAUCAACAAUGUCAGUGCCCAGAGGAUUAUACCGGAGACCAAUGUCAGACCAAAGAGGACAUACUGGUGAUUAUUCCACAAACUGUCACCCCUCGCAUCGGCCAGGAUGUCAGCUUUCUCUGCGAGAUCCCGCCUGACAGACCAUUUAGGAAUCCUACAUGGCUCAGUCCAGAUAACAUCAUCAUUGAUUCCUACAUGCCUGGUCGCAAUGAGCACAUGUUUGUUGCUGUGGAGUCCCCCUUAGCAACUAGGCUCUACAUCCGGGGUCUGGCGCCAGGUGAUUCGGGAGAGUAUACCUGCAGCGCCGGCCCACACUCUUCAAAGUUCAACAUUGUUGUCACCGUUCCAGAAUGUGAGAAGGAUUGCUUGAAUGGUGCUCAGUGCGUCCUCGGUCAGUGCCAAUGCUUAGAUGGUUACAGAGGUGAACAAUGCGAGAUCAAUAUUCCUGACUACAGAAUUCGCAUCCUCGGACCGGACGUCCUCUAUCCCGUCGUGGGUCAGAACUUAGAGUUUCUGUGCGAGGUUCCCCCGACCAGCGAGUUCCAAAUGCCAAUUUGGCUUGACGAGAAUGGACAAAUGGUACCCAAGGGAACAGAAGGUCAUCUGUACACAGUGGCUGAAAAUGACUACUCCACGAGGCUCGUCUUCAACAGUCUACUCUUAGAAGACUCAGGCGGUUACCUCUGUGUGACUGGUACUCUGUCAUCAAGAAUGGAUCUGCAAGUCACUGGUCUGGACCGCUGGAUUGUCGUUUCUCCGGACAACGCUCCAACUGUACCAAGCAUUGGUGACAACCUGAAGAUCAUAUGCGAGGUUGCACAGGAUAGUCCCUACACCAACCCCAAAUGGCUAGGACCAGACAACGAGGAAGUUCCACCAGUAGGAGCAAUUGGCGUCGGUCGUAUCGGAGUUCAGGACGUCACCGCUACAUCGUCCACGCUGAGCAUCAACAACUUGCAGGCAGUGGAUGCCGGUACCUACUCCUGUGUAACUGGUCCCCUGCGGUACAUCUACAGAGUGUCACCAACGUUGGAUUGUGGUGAGAGCCCAUGCCUGAAUGACGCCAGCUGCACUGAUGGAAAAUGUGUCUGCCAAUUCGGUUUCACCGGCUUCCUCUGCGAAUCAUUAGUGUUGGAGUGCCUUCAGGAUUGUCUGAAUGGUGGCAGUUGCAUGGGAGGCAUCUGUCUGUGCGACAAUGGAUAUAUGGGAGACUUCUGCCAAACACCAGAUCCCAAUGCUUUCAUCAUCCGAGUCACGCAGACCAAUCCCGAGGUUCCCAUUGAGGGCAGCAUUCUUGUCUUGGUGUGUGAGGUUGGGCCUAACAGUCCCUUCCAGAGACCUGUUUGGCAGGAUCCUGAGGGUAGAGAUAUCGGCCCUCGCACUGCUGGCACAAGUCGUGUGUACACCACAAACCCUGAUCUCAAGUCCAGCCACCUCUACAUCACAGGCCUUUCACUGGUGGACGCUGGCACCUACACCUGUGCCGCUGGACCACUGAAGUACACUUACAACGUCAUCGUACAUGGUUCCCACAUGAUCCAAGUACCCAACAUGGACUCUCAGGUCCUAAACAUUGGUGACAAUCUGCAACUCUUGUGCCAAGUCGAUGCAAGCAGCCGAUAUCGCAACCCUCAGUGGAUCAGACCAGAUGGAGUAGAGAUCCCCAUCGCUAGACAAAACACAGGAUCAGACCGAGUAUUUUCCGAGUCAGUCUCUGAACUGGCCACCCAGCUACACAUCAAUGGUAUCAGCACAGAGGACGCGGGAAGCUAUACCUGCCGAGUGGGACCGUUUGAAGCAGAUGUAGUAAUUACAGUCAAAGUUGUUGAGUGCAACCCACCAUGCAUCAAUGGCGGAACAUGUACACUCAGUGGCUGUCGCUGCCCACCUGGCUAUAUCGGGCAACUGUGUGAGGAGAUCGAUCCCAACUACCUUGUAGUAGAUGUGCCCAACAUCAUCCCAGUCUAUGGAGGUGACUUCUCCCUGCUCUGCGUCCUACCGGAAGGCAGUCCCUUCAGCAACCGGCGACCAAUCUGGCUGGAUCCACUGAACCGGCCCAUCCCUCCCAUCGAACAAGGAGGGAGCAUAGUACUAAGCACAGAUCAGGUGACGCCUCAGAGCACACGCCUCAUCUUCAGGAAUCUACAGAUGUCCUCAUCAGGGACCUACACGUGCAUGGCGGGCCCUAUCAGAUACAGAUACGACUUGGUGGUUGAACUGCCAUCCUGUUUCCCGGAGUGUAAGAAUGGAGGGACUUGCAACAACAGGGUAUGCAUUUGUCCUAUUGGACUCACAGGGGAAGCAUGUGAAGAAAUUGUUGAUGGCUUUGUCGUCGUGCAGAACCCAGACCCUAACCCGCCCAUGGUCGGCGACACCAUCAAGUUUGUCUGUGAGGUGCCAGAAUCUAGCACCUACGGCCAGCCCAUGUGGAUUAACCCCAACGGAAUCCAAAUCAGUCAACUGCAAGGUGAAAAUGACAACAUGGGGACUGAGAUCAUGUCUCCCUUCUCCACCAGCCUGCUCUUCAGAGAAAUCCAUCUGGAAGACGCAGGGACGUACGUCUGCAAAGUUGGACCAAUCAGGCAGGGCUUUAAUGUCACUGUCACAGAUAUACCUUGUGAGCCAGCCUGCCAGAACGGAGGAACAUGCUUCAGUGGCAUCUGCCAGUGUCCAGACAGAUACAUAGGGCCUAGAUGCAACAUACCAGUUGGUGUGUUCCUGACCAUCCGACGCCCACCUAAGCAGGUCUUUGACGUGGGUGAGGACGUCGAACUGACCUGCGAAGUGUCCAAGAACAGCCCCUUUGAAAACCCUCAAUGGCUGGAUCAGUUUGAUGCCAAAAUUGACGAAGGAAUCCUGAAUGAAGUGAUCGGCACUCGCAACAUGGACCAGUUCACCACACAGCUGAUCAUCCACAACAUCCAACUGAAUGACAGAGGGGACUACACGUGCAUGGUGGGACCCAUACGCCAAACAGUGACACUCUUGGUGCAAGGGGAAGAGAGUCGUUGUCCCAUGGCCUGCAUGAAUGGCGGCACCUGUGUGAACCAAGUGUGUCUGUGCCCCGAGGGAUGGUAUGGGACCGAGUGCCAAACACCAGUGGGCGGUUUCAUCCAAAUUGUCCAACCCCCUGGUCAGGUGAUUGGCAUUGGCAUGGAUAUCGCCUUCCUCUGCCAAGUCGUCGACGGCGACCAUUUUGUCAUCAAUCCUGAAUGGCAGUACCGCAGCACCAAAAUACCCGAAGCUAUCCCAGGUGAAACCAAUCGUGUGCUUGUUGAGAAAGUGUCUCCGCUAGUCACACAGCUUAUCAUCCGUGAUCUCACCAUGGAUGACUUGGGCGUCUAUUACUGCUUCGCCAGACCUCUCUCAGCAUCAUUUGAGUUGACUGUUUCAGUGUGUGAUCCCCCAUGUCUGAAUGGAGGAAACUGUGUUAAUGGCCGUUGUGUUUGUCUGCAAGGCAUGACUGGUCCCCUGUGUGAAAUACCAGUUGACGGCUUCAUCACGAUUGAAGUCCCUGAGGACCAAGUACCAGUCAUUGGUGGGCAGGUCGUGUACAUCUGUGAGGUGCCAGACACCAGCUCAUACGGGGCACCAGUGUGGAUCACGGCACAGGGUCGGGCCGUACCGUCAGCAGAACAAGACUCUAGUGUACGCGUCAGCUCCAACCAAGGCACAUCUUUCAGUACAGUGUUGAACAUCAACAACCUUCAAAUUGAAGACCUAGCCAGCUAUACCUGCAUAGUCGGCCCAGUGAGGCACCCACUGGUCAUUGAACUGCCUGCGGAUAUAUGCACACCCCCGUGCCUGAAUGGUGGAACCUGUGUCGAAGGUCAAUGUGAGUGUCCAGCAGGGCUGAAUGGAACCCAGUGUGAACUGAUAGAAACUGGCUAUAUCGUUGUUAGCCCACCCAGAGGCCAGGUUUCCUAUGUAGGUCUUAACAUCACCUUCAUAUGCCUGGUGCCUGACGGCAACAUCUACACAAACCCUGUGUGGCUGAUGCCAACCGGUGAAGAGGUGGCGUUAGAUGCUGGAGGUGGAUUCAGUCGGAUUUAUUCGGACAUUGUGUCUCCAGAAGCAACCAGUCUCAACUUUGUUGAAUUGCAGCUCGGCGAUUCCGGCACCUACGCCUGCAAAGUGGGGCCUGUGGUGUUCCCAUACAGCGUUGUUGCUGUCGUACCAGAAUGUGAACCGCCAUGCCGUUAUGGUGGAACCUGUACAAAUGGAAUCUGCCAGUGUCCGUUCGGUUUCAAGGGGCAAAUCUGUGAAUUCAUUGAUUUCACAAUAGAGAUUGAGCAACCUCCCGAGCAGACUCCCGAGAUUGGGGGCGAGGCAGAGUUCACUUGCAUCAUUGACAGCAGGAGUCCUUACACCAAUCCAGUUUGGUUUGAUCAAGAUGGACAGCAAAUUACUCCUGGUGGGGAAGACUCCUCUGAUGGUUCUCCGCGAAUCUUCAUUGAUCCUGUGGAUGAGUUCUCAACCCGCAUCGUUCUGCGCGACCUGGAGCUCAGUGACGGCGGCACCUACAUGUGCAGCGUAGGGCCCAUCCGGUCCACAUUCACAUUCAUUGUCAGACAGCCCAACUGUGGUUUUGGUUGCUUCCAUGGUGGAAGCUGUCUCGCUGGUGCCUGCCAGUGCCCUGAAGGCUUCACCGGCAACUACUGUGAGGUUCUGGUCCAAGAACCAUUUGUUAUCAAGAUCGACGGUUCCGAUGACCAACCCGAUGUUGGGGACAGCAUCAACUUUGUCUGCAGUGUGCCUGGAGGCAGUAACUAUGGCAACCCAAUCUGGUUGGAUACCACAGGUGAUGUCAUCGUCAAUCAAAACGAAGAUGGUGGCUCCCUCAGACAGUUUGCAGAGCCUUUGUCAUCGAGUGCCACUCGGCUUGUCUUCAACCAAAUACAGACUGCUGAUGCUGGAAACUACAGCUGCAUUGUGGGAUUGAACCGAGCCAUCCUGUACAUCAGCGUCCGAGCUUCUGACUGUCGGACCCCAUGUGCCAAUGGAGGGACAUGUGUGCAGGGAUCAUGUGUCUGCACAAGUGAAUAUGUCGGAGGAUUCUGCCAAAAUAUCAUCAGUGGCGAUUACCAGUUCCGCAUUCGCAUUCAGAAGGGCCAGAAUCCUGUGAUCGGGGACAACAUGCGCAUCCUGUGCGAGAUCCGGGGUUCCAGUACCUACAGGAACCCUCAGUGGAGCGACCCCAACGGCAACAUCAUUUACUCCAAGGAUCUAGGUGGAUCUGAUAGUCUGUACAGUCGGCAGUCAGUUACCAACAGCAAGUUGUAUAUCCAAGAGGUGACUGAAGCAGAAGCCGGGACAUACACCUGCCAAGUAGGCCCACUCACUACAGAGAUUACCAUCAUACCUAGAAGGGAGACUUGUGUUGGUCCGUGUUUGAAUGGAGGAGUCUGCCAGGAUGGGGCGUGUAGGUGUGCCAUAGGAUAUGCUGGAGAGUCCUGCGAUAUACCAGUUGAUCUGUCUGGUGAUGGUCUAACAAUCACAAUCACACCGAGCAUCGACAGAGAACCACGACAGGGAGAAAAUGUGACAUACAGAUGUGCCAUUCAGGAAAACCAGAUUUACAUGGACCCAGUAUGGAGAGAUGGAGCAGGCAACAUAGUCACUACUGCCCUACCAGGUCAGAAUGUGAACACGGAAGCAGUGAACUCCUUUGUCAGUGAGCUGACCAUUCUUGACAUGUCACUAGAGCAGGAGGGCAUCUACAGCUGUUCAGUUGGGCCAAUCACAAGCUUCUACACGGUCACAGUAGCAGCUCCUGGCUGUAUACCUGAUUGCAUCAAUGGUGGUGCUUGCAUUAAUGAGGAGUGUCUGUGCCCGGAUGGCUAUUCUGGCGACUUCUGUCAAAUAGAAACAUUCCGUCCCUUCAGUCUGAAUGUCACCAUUGGACCAAACUACAAUCCAGUUGUCGGAGGUGAAGUUUCCUUUCUCUGUGAGGCAGUCGGGACCCACGCCCUUGAGAACCCGACCUGGUUCAACCAGUACGGUGUGGCCAUUGGGGAACAGGAUGAAGUGUUCGGCCGUGUGUAUACCACCAAUGUAUCCAGUUUUGCUCAGAGAAUUACCAUCAACGACAUUAAUGAGAUAGAUGCUGGAAUCUACACAUGCGAAGCCGGCCCUAGAAGAACCAGCAUUGUGCUGUCUGUUUACGUUCCGGAGUGUCUCCAGGAAUGCCAGAAUGGAGGGACCUGUGUGGAAGGGGUGUGCGCAUGCCCUGACGGAAUUGUUGGACAGUUCUGUGAAUACUCUCUGGACUUGGAUUUCCGCAUCUAUCUCAGGCCAAGCACUCCCGAGAGUCCCAAAGUUGGUGGCAGCUACAGCGUGGAGUGUGACAUUGUGGGACCAGUGAGAAUCGGUACCCCGGAAUGGACCACGCCCGAGGGGCAGCCAAUCAGAGGACUCGGGCUGGGAGGCACAGGGCACAAAUAUGCUGAUUACGUGAACCCAAGAACGACCUCCGUCAUUAUCAACCGCAUCAUUGAGGCAGAUGUAGGACCAUACAAGUGCACAGUGGGACCAAUCAGCGCGGAGUUUAACAUCACACUAGCGCUCUCUUGCGACAAAGAUUGUGUGAAUGGUGGAGUUUGCAAGGAGGGCAUCUGUGACUGCCCAGAACCAUUCACUGGAGAUUAUUGCGAUGGAAUAGAAGAGGGAUGCAACGUACUGCGUGUCUGCUACAACGGUGGUACCUGCAACAAUAAAGAGUGUGUCUGCACUCCGGACUACCAAGGAGACUUCUGCCAAUACUCUAUUGAUGACGAGACAUCACUGCGGAUCGAGCUUGGCCGUGGGGACAUUCCGGACGCUGGUGAGAACAUCACAGUCAUGUGCAUCACCAGCGGCCCCGAUGCCCCCAUCAACCCUGAGUGGGUGAUGAGAACAGGGGAGGUCAUCUUGUCACUUGAAGAAGGUGGCAACUUGCAUCGUCAUGUCCGUCGGCUUUCACCAAACGAGGUCCAACUGGUCCUGAUUGACCUGGUCUUUGAGGACAUUGACACCUACUCCUGCCGCGCUGGACCCCUCAGGAAGUCAGUCUCCUUGGUUGUGAGAACCCCACCGUGUGUUCCUGAGUGUCUCAAUGGAUUCUGCCUGAACACUGAAUGCAUUUGCCUGGAUGGUUUCACUGGCCCAGCUUGCGAAAUCCAAAUUUCAGAGUGCGACCCACCGUGCCUGAACGGAGGCCAGUGUGAGAACAGAGUGUGCCUGUGCCAACGCGGAUUCUUUGGUGACUUCUGCGAGAACAUUCAAGAACUUCCAGUUAUGAUAACGAUCAAGCCAGAACAGGACCAGAUAACCUAUGUUGGUGAGAAUUCAGCAUUCCUGUGUUACACGGAAGGUAAUGGUGCCCCAUCAGAUCUAGUGUGGAGAGAUCCCAGUGGGCAGAUCAUACAGCCAGGAGUACCAGGUGGGGUUUCUCGAGUCUUUGUGGAGUUGAUCAAUGAGACAUCAAGCCGACUGGUCAUUAACUUCCUUUCUGAGGAAGAUGCAGGGCUUUAUUACUGCGCUGCUGGGCCUCUCAACAGCUCCAUUAUCAUAACUCUGUACGAGCAUCCCUGUCCACUGAUGUGCGCCAACGAGGGAACAUGCAUCCAGGGUCGAUGCCGAUGCCCACAGGAAUUCACUGGAAAAUACUGCGAGAUCAGAGUGAGUCGGACGGGUUCCAUUGCCAUUGUGCCCAACAUCAAGCACAACCCUAUGGUGGGUGAGAAUCUGGAGUUCCUGUGUCGCACAGCGGGGCGAAUCCCAUCCAGGAACCCGGUGUGGCGAUUCCCCGAUGGUAGAGUUGUACGGUCUGUCGAUAAAGGAACAACCAAUGAUCGAGUGUACGCCGAGCGUAACCCGCCUUACCAGAACACCCUAUUCAUUCAUAAUUUCACCGAGGCUGAUGUUGGGACGUACCAAUGUCGGGCUGGACCUCUCACUACGUCAUUCACCCUUGUACUAGCUGAGCGUAUCUGCGACCCACCUUGCUUCAACGGUGGCACCUGCGAGAAAUCCCAGUGCGUCUGCACAGCAGGGUUCACCGGAAACUACUGCCAGAUCAAAGAUUGUCAGCCACCUUGCCUAAAUGGCGGCGAGUGCGUGAACGACGUUUGUAAGUGCCCACCGGGCUGGACAGGGCAGGAUUGCGGACGGGAAGAAGAGGUGGUCCUACAGAUCUCCCAAACCACUGAAUUUGAUCCAACCAUUGGCAGCACCGUCAUGUAUGUGUGUUAUACUAAUGAGAGCAGCGUCACUGAACCGCCUGUGUGGGUCUAUCCUGACGGAAGAGAGAUACUUGUAGGAGAUCCAGGUGAUGGGACUCGUAUCUUUGCUAAUAACAUUUCCCCUGCUGCCAGCGAACUGAUAAUCACCAGCCUACAAGAGGAAGAUAUCGGAACCUACUCCUGCUCAGCUGGACCCCUGAUUGCUUCUGUCAUCAUCACAAUGAAUCCCACUGAUAACUCCUGCAAUGGCGAGUGUUUGAAUGGAGGAGUCUGUAACGAAGGGACCUGUUUCUGUCCACCAGCCUAUACUGGAGAAUUCUGCCAACUUAUUGAUCUGGAGUGUCGCUACCCAUGUGAAAAUGGAGGUUCCUGCAUCAGUGGCAUAUGUGUGUGCAUGGCGGAGUUUGAAGGGGUUUCAUGUGAAAUAAAGAAGCGUGGUUGUCCGGAAGAGUGUCAGAACGGUGGAAUCUGUCUGAAUGGACUGUGCCGCUGUCCGCCAGGGUAUACCGGAGAUUUCUGCGAAAGCCGACCCAUCCAGUGUGAGCCCCCUUGCAUGAAUGGUGGCGUCUGUGUCCGCGGACAGUGUUAUUGUGCUGAUGGCUUUGAAGGCAACUCGUGUGAAUUGAUAGUUGGUUCGUCACCUCAGAUUGUCAUCAAUCCUUUCUCGGGCCAAGUCUUGGCUCUCGGGGAAGACGUCAAUUUCCUAUGCCGGCUGCGCAGCAUGGAGCUGGAACCAGGAACCCUACCGGUCUGGGUUGGACCGGAUGGAGCCGCCAUUGGCAAAAUUGGUUUUGGGGGAGAUUUGCACAAGUACGUUGAGGUGCUGUCAGAGUCUGUGGUCAAUCUGAUCAUCAAUGACUUUACCAUGGAGGAUUCAGGGAACUACACCUGCAUUGCUGGACCUUUGUCAAGAAUGGUGUACCUCAUAUCACUACCUGAAGACUGCCAGGGCAUGUGUCUGAAUGGAGGCGUCUGUGAUAACGGAAUCUGUGACUGUCCUGAAGGAUUUGAAGGGGAGUACUGCGAAUUCACACUGGGUAUUGGGUUGUGCAACCCAGCUUGCGAGAAUGGAGCGACAUGUGAGCAAGGCGUAUGUCUCUGUGCCCUUGGGUUCACAGGGGAUACCUGCGGUACAGAAAUGAGCUGUAAUCCAGGCUGUGAGAACAACGCUAUCUGCCAGCGUGGUAUCUGCAUGUGCCCAGUGGGUUUCACUGGACCCUCCUGCACAGAAGACAUCAACGAGUGUGCUAUCAAUCCCCUCAUCUGUCCAUUCUAUGGCUGUAUUAACACCAUCGGCAGUUACAAGUGUGCCUGCCCACCAGGAUAUGAGUUUGGCCCUGAUGACUUGUGCCAAGAUAUCAAUGAGUGUGACUUGGACCAUUCCUGCAGCCAUCGAUGCAUUAACACUAUUGGCUCCUACCUGUGUGCAUGUCACGAAGGAUUCAUCGUCGAUUCGGACGGCAAGACCUGCAUUGGACCAGCAGGCUGCCUCUACCAGAACAUCCUAUACCCAGCCGGCACAAGUUGGACCAUAGAUGGCUGCUCACAGUGCACCUGUGAUAUGGGUGUCACUCAGUGCACAGAAUGCCCACCACAAGAUACUGAGGACUGCAUGUACAAGGGCAUCUUGUACCGUCACCUCACCAAUUGGACGUCACUUUUCAAUGCCUGUGAGCACUGCUCGUGCAAUAACAGUGACGUGCAGUGUGUGGAGGAGAUGUGUGAUGAGCUGUGUACAAACCCUGUGCCCAGGGCUGGCGUGUGCUGCCAUGAGUGUACAGAUUGUCUGAGCGAAGGCACUCUGAUCCGGAAUAAUCAGUACUUCACUCCAUCCAGCAACAAUUGUACAGUCUGCAGGUGUGAGAAUGGCAACGUAAAAUGUUCCAACUUGACAUGUCCAGAGAUCACAUGCAAUAAGCCAACAGAAGGACCGUGCUGCCUCACUUGCGAAGAUACAUGCGUGUAUGAGGGUAACGAGUAUGGUCACGGCGAGACCUUUAUCCCAGAGACUCCCAAAUGCAGUGUCUGCACUUGCCUGAGAGGUGCAGUGGAGUGUCAGUACAAGAGCUGUCCUGAGCUGGACUGCCCGGCUGCUUCUCAAGUACGCAUUAAGGGCCAGUGCUGCAGCACCUGUGUGGAGAUGCUUCCAGGCUGCGUGGACAAUCACCGGGAGUUCCAUCGGACUGGUGACCAGUGGCAGGACCCUAUGGAUCUCUGCCAGACUUGCAGCUGCUUUGAGAGAGGGAGAAUACAGUGCUUCCGCACUGAGUGCAACACGCAGUGCCAAAAUCCAGUAGCCAUAGCAGGACAGUGUUGCCCUGAUUGUAACGGUUGUAUUUACAAUGGGAAAGGUCGUAGAAAUGGGGGAUCGUUCACGUCGCAAAACUGUGACCAGUGUGUCUGCAUAUAUGGUGAUGUGGUGUGUGAGCCGGCUAGCUGCAACACAGAAUGUUACUACCCAAACCAACCCCCUGGAGAGUGCUGUCCUGUAUGUGAAGAUUGCUUCUUUUUGGGCCAAGUUAUCAAAGAUGGCGAGACGGUCCACCCUGCGCUAGCACCUUGCAGGACCUGCAAUUGCAAGAAAGGAAACGUUCGGUGUACACAUGCGGAGCAGUGUCCUGCAUUAGACUGCUCAGUUACAACAACAGUAGCUGGUGAAUGUUGCCCCAGAUGUGCUGAUGGAUUUUGUCGACUUUCUGGAGGCCAGACUUAUGAAAGCGGAGAGAGUUGGUUUGACCAGGACGAUCCCUGCACAGAAUGCACAUGCUUUGAUCAAGCGGUUCGCUGUUUGCCACUUCCUUGCCCAGACUCUAGCGCCUGCACUCACGGUCUGAUCCUUGAUGGCGAAUGCUGCGCCGAUUGCAACGUCUGCAUGUACCGGGAUAUCAUGUACAACAAUGAGGAAGUGUUUACGCCAGAAAACAGUCCGUGUGAUACGUGUAACUGUACGGAUGGCAAUGUGAACUGUGUGAGUCGAGAAUGUCCACGCUUAGCAUGUCAGCGCACUGUGGAGGUCCCCGGCCUGUGUUGCCCUGUGUGUGAUGUCUGCAUAGAUCCUGUUGAUAACACAGAAUACUCCCACGGCCAAAGUUGGGUUGAUGAAAACAAUCCUUGCAGAACUUGUAUGUGUGUGGACGGAGAGAUAAGAUGCAAUAAUGUGACGUGCCUAUCAGAAUGUGAGAAUCCAACUCAUGUGGAGGGACAGUGCUGUCCAAUAUGCCAAGGAUGUGAUGUUAACAAUCAGACACUGGCUGUUGGGAUACCUGUCAAACCCGAUGACAGCCAGUGCAUGGAGUGCGUGUGUGACAAUGACAACAUGCUGCAGUGCUUCCCAAUCCUCUGCCCCAAGCUCAACUGUAAACCAGAGCAAGUGGCUGUCACUGAAGGCUCCUGCUGUCCAUCAUGUCUAGCUGAGGUUCGAACCCUGCGCGUUUGUGAGAACGAUGGUAUCCAGUACAGCAACGGGACAACCUUUGACAUUGACCAGUGCACAACUUGUACAUGCAUUGAUGGUAACCUGGACUGUGAUGUAGAGGAAUGCCCUGAGCGGCCCUGCAGCCAGCAUCAGCUAGUCAGGGUGCCAGACGAGUGCUGCCCUCUCUGCCUGGACCAGGACUGCUUGUUUGACAACCGGUUCCUGAUUAACGGAGAGUGGUUCCAACCGGCUGGCGACAAGUGCACCAACUGCACCUGCAAUAAUGGUCAGGUUGAGUGUGCUUUGAAGCCCUGCCCAGCUCUGGACUGUCACCCAGAUGAGCAGCAUAAGGCAGAUGGCGACUGCUGCCCUCAGUGCACAGGCGGUGUGUGUCUGUAUAAUGGUGAGAGGUACACCAGUAACACGGCAUGGAAGAGUGGUUGUGACAUCUGCGUUUGCAUCAACGGAAACGCUGUCUGCAACCAGGAAGAGUGCCAGCCAGUCACUUGUGAUGAGGGAGAUGAAAUUGGAAUUCCACCAGGAGCAUGCUGUGAACAGUGCUUACCGAAAAUGGCCUCGUGUAUUGUCUUUGGCGAUCCCCAUUACCGGACGUUCGAUGGCCGAUUCCAUGACUUCCAGGGCACAUGCACCUACACGUUUGUUAAAGACUGUGUCGGGGAGAACUUUGAGGUCAUUGUCCAGAACAAUGGCAAGGAGACGUACUCCGUGUCCUGGACCCAACUCGUGUCGUUCAGACUCUUCAACUGGACCAUUGACCUGCUGCAGGACAUGAAGGUUAAAGUGGAUGGCACCUUCGUGGAGCUACCAUACCUCCACGAGCCAGAAUUCAGCAUCCAGAAACUUGGAUUGCUAGUGGUUGUCCAUACCAACUUGGGUAUUACUGUGUCCUUCGACGGUGAACACUUUGGUGAAGUGGUAGCCGAUCAUCUCUGGAAGGGGCAGCUGUGCGGACUGUGUGGAGACUAUGACGGCAAUCCGGACAACGAUUUCAGAAGUCGAAAUGGUACUUACACGACGACAGCCUCAGAGUUUGGGAACACAUUUAUCUGUGGCGAUUACCCAGAGUGUUCCUGUAGAGAAAGCCAAGAGCUGGAUCCAUGUGCUAAAGAUGAGAGCUACCUGGUGGAGGCAGUAGAGAGAUGUGAAAUCCUGAGGAGUGAUGUCUUCUCGCCGGCCCAUCGUUUGAUCGACCCUCAGCCUUUCUAUGAUGCCUGCCUGUACGACUGGUGCGCGUGCCCUGUGCAGGAUAAAUGUCUGUGUGAUGUACUCUCAGCAUACUCGCAUGAGGCUAGAAAGAAAGGCAUUACAUUAGACUGGCAGAGAGAAAAUUACUGUGCCAUUUCCUGUCCCACGGGGGCCUACUAUGACGAGUGCACCCCACCCUGCGAGGUCACCUGUGAGACCCUCAACUCCCCAGACCUGACAGAGUGCAGCUUACAAGACUGUGUUCCAGGCUGCAAGUGCCCUGCCGGCAUGGUACUUCACAAUUUCCAGUGUAUAGAUAUAAGUGCCUGUCCCUAGUAUCAACAGGGACAACUAUCCUUUAAUUAGCCCAUCAAGAAAUUAAACAGGUUCUCAUAGCAUUACCUCUAUAUUUUGUAGUCGUGAUUGAUUUUUCUCAAGUACAUGUUUAACCAUUCUGGAUUGUAAGUGUUGUGUUAAUUAAUUUGAAAAUUUGAAUGGCACAUCAUAAUGUACAAGUAUCAGUGACUAUCUAAAGUAUACAUUUUACUACUUUUCAGUAUCAAAGUUUAGCACUAAUAGUAAAACAUUAGGAGUAGCCAGUCUCAAUUUGGAGGUAUUCAAAUAUUGUGUUUUUCACACUGAAUAGCAACUAGGAUCUGCAAGGUAAUAUUUCUUAUUAUUGGCCCAGUGGUAUAAUGUUUUCUGCACCCUGCAUAUCAGUAGGAUCUGCAAGGUGAUUUGGUGAUUUGCCUUUGGAUUUUAUGAAGAAACGUGUCUGGGACAUGGUAUUGUAUACUUUGUAUACACUGUUUCAAGUCGAAGCUGAUGAAAUAUAAGUGGGAUACUUUAGAUAUUAUUCAACGAUACCUGACUAUUUGAGGUAUACAUGUAUUUAUGGAAGGAAAUGCCGGCUGGGAUAUGUUACUCCAACAUAGUUAAUGUGAAUUACUAUAAACAAUCCUUAAAUGUCAUGGACAACCUAGAAUAUUAGUUGGCAUCUAGAUAAUAAUUGGUGCUGUGAGGUAUAUUUAAAGUACAACAGCUGUGCAUUACAGAAGUGGAGGUCCUCCUUUUGUUUUGUUUAAAUUCAAGUAUUAAUUGAAGUAGUUUUAGUGUCAAUAUCAAAAACAGGUUUUCUAAAUCUGUUGUGACUGCUGAUAUAAAAGAUGCUAAAUCGUUAUAUUAUGUUGAUACCAGAUUACCAUACUUGAUAUCUGAAGCACCUGGGACCUGGACAUAUGUACAUAUUUAUAAAAAAAAAAUAUAAAAAAAAAUUGGACACACCAAACCAUUGGGCAUGGCUUUGCACCAAAUUAGACUUGUUACCAUUAUUUUUAAUUCAUGUUUUUAAACUGUACAUGUAAGACUGUUUUUAUCAUUUAAGUACAUGUCAUGCAACUUUUGUGAAUAAACAAAAAUGAAACUGUAUCACUCUAUCCCUACACACUGCGUACAACCUUCAAAGUAACAGGAAUAUAAAAUAACUUCUUGUUUGUAACAUUUUCCCAUGCAUUUUUUUACAUAUUUUUUUUUAACAGUAGCCAUGUCAGUGUAGUGAUUUUGUACGUACAUGUAGUGUGUGUUGUGCUAUUACAUAACCCUACAAAUGGCUACAUGAGAUAUAGUGGUGUACCACUUCAGUAUUUAAAGAAAGUAGACAUAGAAAUACUCCAGGUUCUUAGAGUUUUGCUAAGCGAGUUUGUAACAGAAUUUGUCCCAUACGUGUACAACUGCCUUCCAACUUAUGGUGCUGCAUAUAAACUUUUAAAGCAAAAGACUAUAUACACGUAAAGUAUUUAAUUGUAUUGUAUCUGUGAGCAUUUAAUAUCAAAAAAGGCUAUAUUUUGUUAAGUGAAACAUUUUUUAUGGUAAUAUUUCAUAUUUUUGUCACAUGUUUAGCACUGCGAUUUGCAGAUCAUGUAGGAUAUUGCUAGUUAAAUAUGGUGCUUCCAAUAAAUUUCUAUACAUGUACAUGUCUGUAAUAAGUUUAGUUUUUUAAAAAGUGCACAUUAAAGGCGUCAUCGUGUCUUCACAAAG
This 29568-nucleotide unclassified non-coding RNA is filed under the name Patiria miniata (bat star). Its description in RNAcentral is "uncharacterized LOC119732952, transcript variant X3". The record is from RNAcentral. Lineage: Eukaryota; Metazoa; Echinodermata; Asteroidea; Valvatida; Asterinidae.